RNAcentral lists this ribosomal RNA (509 nucleotides) under Candida albicans. RNAcentral describes it as "eukaryotic LSU rRNA". The stretch from base 141 to 294 matches the Rfam family "5.8S ribosomal RNA". The record is from RNAcentral. Lineage: Eukaryota; Fungi; Ascomycota; Pichiomycetes; Serinales; Debaryomycetaceae.
AUAUGACUGCUUAUUGCACCACAUGUGUUUUUCUUUGAAACAAACUUGCUUUGGCGGUGGGCCCAGCCUGCCGCCAGAGGUCUAAACUUACAACCAAUUUUUUAUCAACUUGUCACACCAGAUUAUUACUUAAUAGUCAAAACUUUCAACAACGGAUCUCUUGGUUCUCGCAUCGAUGAAGAACGCAGCGAAAUGCGAUACGUAAUAUGAAUUGCAGAUAUUCGUGAAUCAUCGAAUCUUUGAACGCACAUUGCGCCCUCUGGUAUUCCGGAGGGCAUGCCUGUUUGAGCGUCGUUUCUCCCUCAAACCGCUGGGUUUGGUGUUGAGCAAUACGACUUGGGUUUGCUUGAAAGACGGUAGUGGUAAGGCGGGAUCGCUUUGACAAUGGCUUAGGUCUAACCAAAAACAUUGCUUGCGGCGGUAACGUCUACCACGUAUAUCUUCAAACUUUGACCUCAAAUCAGGUAGGACUACCCGCUGAACUUAAGCAUAUCAAAAGCCGGGAGGAA